RNAcentral lists this ribosomal RNA (253 nucleotides) under uncultured bacterium. RNAcentral's name for it is "partial 16S ribosomal RNA". It matches the Rfam family "Bacterial small subunit ribosomal RNA", at positions 524 to 776 of the family's 1533-position model. The record is from RNAcentral.
UACGUAGGGUGCGAGCGUUAAUCGGAAUUACUGGGCGUAAAGCGUGCGCAGGCGGCUAUUUAAGCUUGCUGUGAAAGCCCCGGGCUUAACCUGGGAAUGGCAGUGAGGACUGGAUGGCUGGAGUGUGGCAGAGGGGGGUGGAAUUCCACGUGUAGCAGUGAAAUGCGUAGAGAUGUGGAGGAACACCGAUGGCGAAGGCAGCCCCCUGGGCUAACACUGACGCUCAGGCACGAAGGCCAGGGGAGCAAACGGG